This 2849-nucleotide long non-coding RNA is filed under the name Citrus x clementina. RNAcentral describes it as "Citrus clementina (C. clementina) long non-coding RNA (CCLE_LNC001371)". The record is from RNAcentral. Lineage: Eukaryota; Viridiplantae; Streptophyta; Magnoliopsida; Sapindales; Rutaceae.
GGGUGUAAGGUACGUGCAUGUAACUUAGCAUUAGCCUCUAUAUAUAUAUAUAUAUAUAUAUAUAUAUCUCACGAUACUUGUCUGAUUGUAUCUCGAGAUGCUGCAACUUGGCCCCACGCUUUAUUCAGCAUCGAUGCUUGUACGUUUCCUUCGUUUGUGUAUCAAUGAAUUAACAUGACGUGUCACGUGUGUCCUCUGCUUGACUGCAUGUGGAAUGCCUAAAUGACAAACCUGGGCCCAACUUAAAGGCCCAAGUGAGGAUGUUAGAAAUGUGCGUGACAGUAUAAUUCCAGAACCUCAACUUGAUUUGCAAACAAUUACAUUAAAUAAAAACUACUCAGUGCUUGUUAAUUGUUCUUGAUGUACUAGGUUAUUUAAAAAAAUGUAUUUAGAAGGGAUCAAUGGGUGUGUCAAUUUUUUGGUCACACAUGUACCAACGAUGCGUUAAUGAAUUUCGUAAAAAUAAAAUAAAUUUAUAGUAUUCAAUUUACCCAACUCUAUUUUAUUUAUUUCUGUUGCAAAAAUAAGAGCUAGAAUACCGCUUAUAAAUAAUACAAGGAGCAUGACCGGUAUAGGAACUAUUAAAGCUACUGAAGAAACAAGAACAAUAAGAACAAUAACUACUAAUUCAUUGGCUAAUAUAUUCCCAAAAAGUCAAAAACUAAGUGAUAAAAGUUUCACUAAAAAAACAAAAGACUAAUAUUAAAAGUUUGUUCAAGUCGCAUGUUUAAACCUAUUUACCGCUAAUCAAACUUCAAAUAAUGCAAUUCAUAAAUAGAAUAUAAUCAGAAAAAAAAAAAGUUGUCCAUCGGAUUAAUUAGAUCUAUUAUUGAUAUAUGACUAAUUGAGUAUGAUGAGAACACAAAUGUAUAUAAUGCAAUUCAAACAUAAAUUAUAUUGACAGUGAUUAGAUUCAUCAAUUGGAACUGAUAAAAUUUUGAAUUAAUUGAAUCGCUGCCAUGAAGAUUCUUGUUAUUAAGUAAUAGGCAAUAAGGGGCAUAUAAUAAGAAUAACUAUAAAUUUUCUACUUUAUUGAUCAAACAUAAUUAUCAAAAUAUCGUUUGUAUCAUUAAUCAAAGUUUUGUAAAUUAAACAAUAAUUAGUGCUGAUUAUAAGUUUGUUGCAUACUCAACAUUUCAAUUUCUAAAAUUAUUGUUGUAUGGAAAAAAGGACCAUUUUUUAACACCAAAUACAGAGGCACAGUGCUUAUGGCAACAUUCUACAUAUAUAUAUUCACAGUUAGAAGCAUAGAAAACAAGAUCAUUUUUAAGGCCAAUUACAGAAGCAAAGUGCUCAUUUGUGAUUAUCACACAAUGGUCAACACUUCUACUAAGCUUUCAAAUUAAGAGUGGAGUGGAAGAUGAGCAAGCAUCUCCAGCACCACUCUUAAACAAAAAAGUGAUAAAAAAUUCCAAUUCCAGCUAUUUUGAAAAUACCUUAACUACAGGAUAUACCUCUAUGCAGUUAGUAUCAUCCAUUGUAAAUGAAAUGAUACAUUUUAUUCUUGACUCUCUCUCUCUCUUUAUAACUUAGUGGCAAGACCUCCUGAUCUCUUCCAGUAAAGGAAACGAAGAUUUGCUCAAUAUCUUGACAUUAUAGAUAUAUAAGUGCAGAGAUAGCUAAUAGUAGUCCCUGAUGAUCGGAGGUUCACCAUUAGGUUUAUCAAUCACACUUAGGUUUAUCAAUCACACUUAUAUUGGAAGCAAAGGUCCAGAGCUGACUGGCUGUUGGAGGGAGACAGAAACACAAUUUUUUUUCAUGCCAAGGCUUCAGCAAGAAAAAGAAAAACAAAAUUUGAGAGUGUGUGAUGAAGACGGAACAUAGUCAGAUGAAGACGGAUCCGUGCAUCGUGCCCAGCAAUUUUCAGCAGAGGAAUUAUUAUUUAACGGAUAAAAAUUUUGUUGAUUUCAAUAUUAAUACAAUGGGGCUUUUAUAUAUCUUUCUAGAAGGAUGCCAAAUCGAUUAGAUAUUUCAAGUUAUUUUAUUUAUAUGCUUAUUUCAAAUUCUCAAAAAGAAUUAAAAAAAAAAACCUCAAAAAAUAAUCAGAUUCAAUCUUUUUUUCCCCCCAAUAUUUCUUUUAUCGUUUCCAAUUGGUAAAUGCAAAUGAGAAAAGAUUUUAACUUAAAUCGGUCUCAAUUUUUUUUAAGCUCUCACAUCAGGAGGAAUAUGAUGCAUAAUACAAUAAAAAUAACGAAAUGAAGAUAUUUUUUUACCUCGAACAUAAAAAUGUUGUUUUCAGUGCCACGUCCAACUAUCGGCGAGAAAUUGGUGCAAUCGACCAUUUGCUCAGCAACCAUUCUGAGAGCACAGUCAGCCCUUCCCUGAUACAACUGCUCCAUCGGAAAUUGAAAGCAAACUUUUUUUUUUUUGCAAUUCAAGUAGAAAGGGAAAUAUGAAAGGGGGAGAGGCCAGAGGGCAUUUGGCUGUAUUUAUUGAGUUGAUUGAUGUGUGUAUCUACGUGCUACUUGUACAUUGUAAAUAAAAUGAGAAAUCACAUGAUAAGUUUUUUUUUUAGUUCUUCUCAAACAAAAACAGAAGGUUUUUUCUUAGUUUGGAUGAGCUGGCAUCAUUGAGAUAUUCGAAAUGCAGUACAUUUUUAUUUUAUCAUAGGUAAAGAUGGCCAAUGGGCCAUGCUAGCCAUCAAAAGAAGGCUCAUGCAUACUUGUGCCCAUGCCGUGCCGUGCCGUGCCCACUAUGUGUUUUGUGCUGUGUCAUGUCAUGCCUAACUUUUUUUACUUAGGUCCGGCCGAACACACGUGCUGUGCUGUGUCGUGCCCAAGAAAAAAAACACAAUAAGCUUUUUUUUUAAAAUUUUUUAAGACACGUGCUAAACUGUUCAUGUACUUUUU